AACACUUACAACAUGACACGCACAACACAAGAUAUUCUUAACUAAAGUUUCAAAACAUUACAUUGAUUAAAUUGAUUAGAAUUACACAACUAUAAAUAAUUAGUGCAACACUGAUUAGUGUUAGUGGAUUACCAGGAAAGGCAUAAACAGUAAACUUUACCCCUCCUCUUAAUGAUCAUAUGAUGCUGGCCAAACACAAUCUGCUUGGCGAGGAAGAAAGGAGGAGGACAACUAGCUUACUCCCUUUACCUGACAGAAAGAAGGAAAGAACGACAGAAGGAGAGAAAGAGAGAGUUGCUUUGAAGGCAUAGGAAUAGACCAAGAACAGACAACAGAAGACAUCAGGAGCCUACAAGUACAAAGGAUUUUAAAAAGGGGGAGCAUGACUACUAUGCAAGUGAUGGUGCAUGGACCAAAGAAACAUUUGAGAGACAAUUCUAAUGAACAGCUCACUUUGGAUAGAGGAGUGGACAAUACUGCGAGUCCCCCUAAAAAACUGUCCCACUCUAUUGAGGAGAUCCUGAAGAAGCCAUCCAGAGUGGGAGAAGAGAGGCAAGAGGGGCUAGGUGGAUGGUCGGUUAACAGACAGAAUGAAGAAUGUCCAUAUCAGCAUGUACAUACAGGCACUGUGUGUUCAAUUGGCCUUGACUUGUUAUGUUACCAUUAUGGGCAGGCCUAUGUAACAUAAGAGAUUUUGGGAGAGUAUACAUUACAAGGAGGCAAAGGGGUUAGAUGUCAAAUGGCUGAUUCUGUCUCAAGUCUGGGAAAUUGUAUUCUGUGUAUCAUAUUUUAUGUUAUCUGAAUUGAGCUAGUAGUUCUUAAGAGUUAUUUUUAGGACAAAGAUAAUCAAGCAAUAUUAUGCUUUCUUUCUGUCCACAGAAGGAACUUUUCAACACAGGGUGCUGCCACAGCAUGUGCACAUUGUCACUGACUGGAGAGGUGACCACAACACAGAGGUCACAAGACUACACCCUGGAGAGUGCAAUAUUGACCGCAUCUCCCAAGACCACAGUGGGGACUCCAGCAGCCACAGUAGUGGCUCCUGUAAAGAUAGUAUUCAGGACAGAGCGGGGAGAGAGGAGGGCCAGGACCAAGGCCGAAUCCAGUGGGAGAGGAUCAGCUGCCAAGCUCAUCAUGUGCAGAGGAGGAGAAGGAAGACCUGGACCAUCUUCACUCCAGGUCAGGUGGAGAAGGAAGACCCGGACCAGCUUCACUCCAGGUCAGGAGGAGAAGGAAGACCCGGACCAGCUUCACUCCAGGUCAGGAGGAGAAGGAAGACCCGGACCAGCUUCACUCCAGGUCAGGUGGAGGAGCUGGAGAAGGUGUUCUUGGAGACCCACUAUCCUGAUGUCCACAUCCGGGACACACUUGCCUCUCAUCUGCAGCUCACCGAGGGAAGAGUACAGAUUUGGUUCCAGAACCACAGAGCCAAAUGGAGGUAGACUGAGAUGCUAAGGGACGUGGAAAUGAUGGCCAGAGACCAGACCCCUAUAUGUACAUUCAAACCUGGGCUUCUUUAUAGUGAGGUAACCAUGGUUGGCAGAGGAAGAACAAUGAUUCCAAGCACCACCCUCCUUUUGAAGCUUCCGGUCUGUUAUUCGAACUCAAUCAGCAUGACAGAGUGAUCUCCAGCCUUGUCCUUGUCAACACUCACACCUGUGUUAACAAGAGAAUCACUGACAUGAUGUCAGCUGGUCCUUGUGUGGCAGGUCCGAAAUGCAGUGGAAAUGUUUUUGGGGGAUUCAGUUCAUUCGCAUGGCAAAGAGGGACUUUGCAAUUAAUUGCAAUUCAUCUGAUCACUCUUCAUAACAUUCUGGAGUAUAUGCAAAUUGCCAUCAUUCAAACUGAGGCAGCAGACUUUGUGAAAAUUUAUAUUUGUGUCAUUCUCAAAACUUUUGACCACGACUGUAUAUGUGAUUGUAUAAGACGUGAGUCAUGCUUGAGACAGUUGACAAAAACCUCAAUAAAAUGAUCCUGUAAUUUGUUUCCAUGACAAAACAGCGUGAAGAGGCUAUCUCUCUGUUUCCGUUGAAUCCUUGCUCACUACAGUACGGGCCAUACCAACUACUAGAAAAGCUUUACCCAGGGGUAUUGCCGUUCCAACCUUUUCUACCUGUGUUGCCACACCUGCAUCACCAAGCUCUAUGCUCCCCCUGGACCCGACAUUAAUUUCCCAUCCCAAUAGUCACUUUCAGUUGACACA
Molecule: long non-coding RNA, 2203 nt
Filed under: Salmo salar (Atlantic salmon)
Lineage: Eukaryota; Metazoa; Chordata; Actinopteri; Salmoniformes; Salmonidae
Description: lncRNA (ENSSSAG00000111644.1)
Source: RNAcentral